This 165-nucleotide small nuclear RNA is filed under the name Aotus nancymaae (Ma's night monkey). RNAcentral's name for it is "U1 spliceosomal RNA (ENSANAG00000005479.1)". It matches the Rfam family "U1 spliceosomal RNA". Rfam says of the family: U1 is a small nuclear RNA (snRNA) component of the spliceosome (involved in pre-mRNA splicing). Its 5' end forms complementary base pairs with the 5' splice junction, thus defining the 5' donor site of an intron. Lineage: Eukaryota; Metazoa; Chordata; Mammalia; Primates; Aotidae. The record is from Rfam by way of RNAcentral.
AAUCUUACCUGGCAGGGGAGAUACCAUGAUCACAAAGGUGGAUUUCCCCAGAGCGAGGCUGAUCCAUUAUGUGCCGGAUGUGCUGACCUCUGCCAUUUCCCCAAAUGUGGGAAAUCCAACUGCAUAAUUUAUAGUAGUGGGGGACUGUGUUCACACUCUCCCCUG